RNAcentral lists this ribosomal RNA (447 nucleotides) under uncultured bacterium. RNAcentral describes it as "bacterial SSU rRNA". It matches the Rfam family "Bacterial small subunit ribosomal RNA", at positions 331 to 792 of the family's 1533-position model. The record is from RNAcentral.
CCAGACUCCUACGGGAGGCAGCAGUGGGGAAUCUUGCACAAUGGGCGAAAGCCUGAUGCAGCGACGCCGCGUGGGCGAAGAAGGCCUUUGGGCCGUAAAGCCCUGUCGGGAGGGAAGAAGGAAGCGACGGUACCUCCCAAGGAAGCCCCGGCUAACUACGUGCCAGCAGCCGCGGUAACACGUAGGGGGCAAGCGUUAUCCGGAUUUACUGGGUGUAAAGGGAGCGUAGACGGCGAAGAAAGUCUGAAGUGAAAGCCCGCGGCUUAACCGCGGAACUGCUUUGGAAACUUUUUUGCUGGAGUACCGGAGAGGUAAGCGGAAUUCCUAGUGUAGCGGUGAAAUGCGUAGAUAUUAGGAGGAAUACCAGUGGCGAAGGCGGCUUACUGGACGGUAACUGACGUUGAGGCUCGAAAGCGUGGGGAGCAAACAGGAUUAGAUACCCCAGUA